Molecule: Y RNA, 98 nt
Filed under: Pongo abelii (Sumatran orangutan)
Lineage: Eukaryota; Metazoa; Chordata; Mammalia; Primates; Hominidae
Rfam family: Y RNA
About the family: Y RNAs are components of the Ro ribonucleoprotein particle (Ro RNP), in association with Ro60 and La proteins. The Y RNAs and Ro60 and La proteins are well conserved, but the function of the Ro RNP is not known.
Source: RNAcentral
AGCUGGUCCGAUGGUAGUGGGUUAUCAGAACUUAUUAACAUUAGUGUCACUGAAGUUGGUAUACAACUCUCCACUGCUAAAUUUAACUGGCUUUAAAA